This 315-nucleotide ribosomal RNA is filed under the name Pholoe sp. HH11. RNAcentral's name for it is "partial 16S ribosomal RNA". The stretch from base 50 to 315 matches the Rfam family "Bacterial large subunit ribosomal RNA", at positions 2048 to 2565 of the family's 2925-position model. The record is from RNAcentral. Lineage: Eukaryota; Metazoa; Annelida; Polychaeta; Phyllodocida; Pholoidae.
CGGACACACUAAAUUUUAGCUUUAUUACCUUUAAUAAUAUAAUUUAGCUUUUAGGUGAAGAGACCUAAAUAGAGUAGAAAGACAAGAAGACCCUAUUGAGUUUUAUCUUAAAAUAAUAUUAUAGAUUUUGUUGGGGCGACAAGGGAAUUUAUUUAACUUCCCUAAAAAUAAAGGAAUUCCAAUAAAUUGAUCCUCAAAGAACUUAGAAUAAACUACCAUAGGGAUAACAGGCUAAUUUUUUCAGAGAGUCCAUAUCAAUGAAAAAGUUUGGCACCUCGAUGUUGGCUUGAAGAAUCUUUUAGGUGCAACAGCCUA